UGAGGAAUAUUGGUCAAUGGGCGUAAGCCUGAACCAGCCAAGUCGCGUGAGGGAUGAAGGUUCUAUGGAUCGUAAACCUCUUUUAUAAGGGAAUAAAGUGCGGGACGUGUCCUGUUUUGUAUGUACCUUAUGAAUAAGGAUCGGCUAACUCCGUGCCAGCAGCCGCGGUAAUACGGAGGAUCCGAGCGUUAUCCGGAUUUAUUGGGUUUAAAGGGUGCGUAGGCGGCCUUUUAAGUCAGCGGUGAAAGUCUGUGGCUCAACCAUAGAAUUGCCGUUGAAACUGGGGGGCUUGAGUAUGUUUGAGGCAGGCGGAAUGCGUGGUGUAGCGGUGAAAUGCUUAGAUAUCACGCAGAACCCCGAUUGCGAAGGCAGCCUGCCAAGCCAUGACUGACGCUGAUGCACGAAAGCGUGGGGAUCAAACAGGAUUAGAUACCCUGGUAGUCCACGCAGUAAACGAUGAUCACUAGCUGUUUGCGAUACAGUGUAAGCGGCACAGCGAAAGCGUUAAGUGAUCCACCUGGGGAGUACGCCGGCAACGGUGAAACUCAAAGGAAUUGACGGGGGCCCGCACAAGCGGAGGAACAUGUGGUUUAAUUCGAUGAUACGCGAGGAACCUUACCCGGGUUUGAACGCAUUUCGACCGCUCUGGAAACAGAGCCUCUAGCAAUAGCGAUUUGCGAGGUGCUGCAUGGUUGUCGUCAGCUCGUGCCGUGAGGUGUCGGCUUAAGUGCCAUAACGAGCGCAACCCUUGCCACUAGUUACUAACAGGUGAUGCUGAGGACUCUGGUGGGACUGCCAGCGUAAGCUGCGAGGAAGGCGGGGAUGACGUCAAAUCAGCACGGCCCUUACAUCCGGGGCGACACACGUGUUACAAUGGCGUGGACAAAGGGAAGCCACCUGGCGACAGGGAGCGAAUCCCCAAACCACGUCUCAGUUCGGAUCGGAGUCUGCAACCCGACUCCGUGAAGCUGGAUUCGCUAGUAAUCGCGCAUCAGCCAUGGCGCGGUGAAUACGUUCCC
This 1019-nucleotide ribosomal RNA is filed under the name uncultured bacterium. Its description in RNAcentral is "bacterial SSU rRNA". It matches the Rfam family "Bacterial small subunit ribosomal RNA", at positions 355 to 1375 of the family's 1533-position model. RNAcentral also lists the same sequence under 1 other name. The record is from RNAcentral.